Hippocampus comes (tiger tail seahorse) is the source of this 1241-nucleotide long non-coding RNA. RefSeq lists it as uncharacterized. NCBI's taxonomy places the organism in Eukaryota, Metazoa, Chordata, Actinopteri, Syngnathiformes, Syngnathidae. The transcript has 6 exons. The record is from RefSeq and is a predicted model, not a curated record.
AUCCUUCAGCUGCCUCACUGUGAAUGGCGCCUAGCUGAAGGACGUCGGGUGCAAGACUCUGUGCAGGCAGAAAAAUGAUCCAAAAGUGGUUUAGGCGUGGUUUAUUUUGACGUACAUUGCGUUUUUUUUUAAAUCCCUCAGUUCUAAAGUUGAAAGGAAGUGUGUGCAUGUGGCGUUGAGAAAAGGACGCAAAGUCAAGUUUAGGGUCCACAACCUCUGCUGAAGUUGGGCUUUAGUGAGGCACGUCCACGGAAGAAGAAGCAGAAAAAGACAAACAGAAUGAACAGGCGCAAAUGCCCUGCAUUGCUGAGUCAGCCUCAUGACUUCAUCAACAUCACGGGACGGCGCGAGGGCGUGACGGCAGGCCGAGGAAGAGCUCUGCAGCUGCCGCUUUGCUUCUUUUCUGGCACGACCUUGCCCUCCAACCCCACCGCCCACGCGAGGAGUUCAUUUCUCCUCUCAUAUUGGGUGAGCAAGAGGAAGGCUGACAGGUGAACUCAAGGCUGGAGGACAGGCCCCGCCCACUACACCCUUGUAUGGAGUGGACGUGACUGGAAGCCCGGCCGUGGGUGGACAUGUGACUCAUCGGGCAGCGGGAACUCAAGCAAAGACGACGGGCGGAUGUUACGACCGCGGGAUCGACCGGCAGACGCUCAGGCGAAUGGCCGCUUACGUAGGUGCCCGCGUGCGUGUGACAGAUAAGAUGACAGAGGACUAUCAUGUGAACACCUGUUUCCAAUGGAUGGAGCAAUCCUCACUGCCCGACCGUCCCACUCCCCCCCCUUGACUCACAUGCACUGACAUGACAGUCUGUGUGUGUGCGUGUGUGUGUGUGUGUGUGUGUGUGUAUGUGUGGAGAAGAAGAAGAAGGGCGUAAUUCUCUUAGCACGUGUUUUUGCCAAGCACCGUGGAAGGCACCGUACUUUCCUGCAAAUGAGCACGAGUGCACACACGCACUCACACAAUGAGGAAACGGAAAGGAGAAAACCUCCUUUCUGUUUUACACGCUAGCCUGACGUUGUCGUGAGUUCAUUUUGGUCAGCUCUUAUUGUGCACAUAAAAAAAUGAACAUGUAUAAGUCGUUAUUUAACAAUAUGGUGACUUUGUAUCAAGGAACCCAAUUGUUGGACAAUCCAUUUUGUCUUGACAUGACAAUUGAUGAACAAUGUUGUCGACGCACUGGAAUUUUACAAUGUAAGUAACGCUGCGGAUGAAAUGCAAUAAAAGAAGAUCCAAAAAAA